GAGACGCUAGCGGCAGGCUUAACACAUGCAAGUCGAGGGGCAGCGCGUUGUAGCAAUACAAUGGCGGCGACCGGCGGAAGGGUGCGUAACGCGUGAGCAACUUGCCCGUCACAGGGGGAUAACCGGUGGAAACGCCGACUAACACCCCGUAACACAUUUCGCCGCAUGGCGAGAUGUUGAAAACUCCGGUGGUGACGGAUAGGCUCGCGUGCCAUUAGCUAGUCGGCGGGGUAACGGCCCACCAAGGCAACGAUCAGUAGGGGUUCUGAGAGGAUGAACGGCCACAUUGGGACUGAGACACGGCCCAGACUCCUACGGGAGGCAGCAGUGGGGAAUCUUCCGCAAUGGACGAAAGUCUGACGGAGCAACGCCGCGUGAACGAUGACGGCCUUCGGGUUGUAAAGUUCUGUUAUACGGGACGAAUGGCGUAGCGGUCAAUACCCGUUACGAGUGACGGUACCGUAAGAGAAAGCCACGGCUAACUACGUG
Molecule: ribosomal RNA, 489 nt
Filed under: uncultured bacterium
Lineage: Bacteria
Description: bacterial SSU rRNA
Rfam family: Bacterial small subunit ribosomal RNA
Source: RNAcentral